This 433-nucleotide ribosomal RNA is filed under the name uncultured bacterium. Its description in RNAcentral is "partial 16S ribosomal RNA". It matches the Rfam family "Bacterial small subunit ribosomal RNA", at positions 29 to 507 of the family's 1533-position model. The record is from RNAcentral.
AACGAACGCUGGCGGCAUGCCUAACACAUGCAAGUCGAACGAGACCUUCGGGUCUAGUGGCGCACGGGUGCGUAACGCGUGGGAACCUGCCCUUAGGUUCGGAAUAACUCCCCGAAAGGGGUGCUAAUACCGGAUAAUGUCUUCGGACCAAAGAUUUAUCGCCUUUGGAUGGGCCCGCGUUGGAUUAGCUAGUUGGUAGGGUAAAAGCCUGCCAAGGCGACGAUCCAUAGCUGGUCUGAGAGGAUGAUCAGCCACACUGGGACUGAGACACGGCCCAGACUGCUACGGGAGGCAGCAGUGGGGAAUAUUGGACGAUGGGCGAAAGCCUGAUCCAGCAAUGCCGCGUGUGUGAUGAAGGCCUUAGGGUUGUAAAGCUCUUUUACCCGGGAUGAUAAUGACAGUACCGGGAGAAUAAGCUCCGGCUAACUCCGUG